Molecule: long non-coding RNA, 1017 nt
Filed under: Numida meleagris (helmeted guineafowl)
Lineage: Eukaryota; Metazoa; Chordata; Aves; Galliformes; Numididae
Description: lncRNA (ENSNMEG00000013898.1)
Source: RNAcentral
CCCAUUGUGUCUCUCCCUUGCUCAUCUUGACACUAAUGAAAGCCACUAGAUGUCACUACUAUAUAGUAGGAAUAAAGUUAAGAUAAUAUUUUUUUGGCAAUAAAUGUCCUGACUCAUAAGGAAGCUGGGUUAUAAAAGCCGUGGAUAGUUUGGAUUCCUUCCAGUUAAAAAACAAAACAAAACUUUUUUUUUUUUUUUUUUUUUUUACUAAAAAUAUUGGAUUCAAGUUCAAAACAGUCAUUUAACAAAUAACAUUGACUUGUAUUUUAAAAGGAAAAAUACUUUGAAGUUAAUACCAAGUAAAGAAACGUGGUCUGUGGCUCUGAGAACUGCGAUGAUGGGAAAAAUUAUAUCUGGAGGUCUACAGUGCUAAAGACAAGGCUUGACUAAAUGUAGGGUUGGGGACGUUCAGGAGUACUCAUAUUCUCUUACUCAACCAGACGUGGAGGCAAAAGGCCAGAGAAAUAAUAGUAAUAGCAGUAAUAAUAUUGUAUAUUUAUAUGGUGCCUUUCAUCUCCCAGAUUUCUACGCUGCAGUGUCUAGGUGACUGCAGAUACAAUAAUCACUUUGCUCACCACCACCAUGGAACCACCCUUGGCAAGGCCACGGCAGCCAUCAAACAGCACGUUGGGAGUUACUGCUCCAAUUGCAAAGAUCACGAGGGCACGUUUGAAGCAGGAAUGAACCGGCCAGACCCAUCCCUGCUGUAGGUCAUGAACGUACUGAAACCCUGAUGGUGGAAGAUGCAGGGAACAUAUUAAAUCCUGUUUGUGUGGAAAAACAGAAAUAAUAACAAAAUGCUCAGCUGAGGUAGGGGCUCCCUCGGGUCUCUGUCUAUGGAAGCUCUUCUUGAGAACAUGAGGUAUGUGAGGUUCUUUUGAAAUGAGAUGGAGUGGGGUAGGGGAUGAGGUUUUCUUGGCCAUGUGAAUGUACUUCUUUCUGUCUGACAGUAAGAGAUUUGGACAUCUUCAUGCAAUUUGGUUACCAGCAUUACGUGAGCAACUGCCUACUUUGCAC